AUUUUAAGAAAGGAGUAAAGAGAGCUGAGAAAUCUAAUGCAAUUGACAAUUAUGUAAAUGGAACAGUUGGACAGGAUAUGGAGACGUCUGCAUGGGAGAGUAUGCUAGAGAAACCACCUGAACAGUUAACACAGUCUGAGCGUGAGCAGUGGUUAUCAAAACUGAAAGGUGUAGCACUGAGUUCUGAUGCAUUCUUUCCAUUCCGUGAUAAUAUUGACAG
Saccoglossus kowalevskii is the source of this 220-nucleotide long non-coding RNA. NCBI's taxonomy places the organism in Eukaryota, Metazoa, Hemichordata, Enteropneusta, Harrimaniidae. The record is from RefSeq and is a predicted model, not a curated record.